UACCGCGAGGAAAUUCCCUAACAAAUAAUACUCUCUCCCUCUCUCUCUCCUCUUUCUCUCUCUACACACUUUCUUCUCUCAUCGACCGCCUCAAUCCUCCUCUUUACCUCUGCAACUGCAAUCUCUGUCUCUCUCUCGCUCUCUCUUUCUCUCUGUAGAAUUCGAAUGCGGUAGCCAUCUCGUCCCUUACAGUGUCCACCGAGUUUCUUGAUUUCGAUGCUCUAACGACUCCACUUUCCGGCAAUUAUCACUCCGGUCGUUCUUGUCUGGAAACGCUCCAGCGUAUGAUGGUGGGUUUUUCUAGGGUUUUAGUUGAUUCAAUUUGAUUGUGAAACGGCCUCCGAAGAAGAAGACGUCGUCGUUGGUUGCCUAGGGAUUUUCGACGCCAUGGCUCCCGGGCGUAAACGUGGAGCCAGAGGUGCGAAGUCGACAAGUGAGUUGAGGUUGGGCGAUCUGGUCCUCGCCAAGGUCAAGGGCUUCCCUGCUUGGCCUGCAAAGAUUAGUAGACCUGAAGAUUGGGAUCGAGCUCCUGACCCUAAGAAAUAUUUUGUUCAAUUCUUUGGAACAGCAGAAAUAGCUUUUGUUGCCCCUGGGGAUAUUCAGGCAUUCACUAGUGAGUCAAAGAGUAAAUUGUCAGCUCGAUGCCAGGGUAAAACAGUUAAAUACUUCGCCCAAGCUGUAAAGGAAAUCUGUCAAGCAUUUGAAGAGUUGCAACAUAAAAAUUCUAGUGGUUUGAGAGAUGAUACUGAUAGAUCAGCUCUUGGGUGUGAGGCUCCUUCAGUUGAUGAGGUGGAAGAUUAUGCAGCAGAGAUUGACUUAAAAGCUGGGAUUAGUACAGAUGUACCAAAAGAAGAAACAGAGACUAGAGGGCUGAGUGAUCAUGGGUUUGGGUUGGAGCAGCAUAGAGAAGGUGAGAUGGAAUGCCGUGAUAUAAAGCCUAAUAUAUCAUGUAAUGCUAAUGACAGUUCUUCUCCAGUGAUAUCUUCUAAGAAAAAGAAUAAACUGUUCAAUGAUGGUCCUUAUAAAUCAAACAAGGAGGAGUUAUCUGGAUCCAGUCCGUAUAAUCUUUCCUGUAUGAAGGAAGAAGUCUCUUGUGAUAGCAAUGAAGAAGACAAAGUUUUCCGCUCUGAACGCUCAAAAGUUACCGAGGGCUUGGAUUUUAGUCAGGAUAAUAAUUUAUUUGAUGCAGAAGAAGAUUCUUCUAGUGGCCUGUUAUGCAAUAAAAAAGAGAGUUCACCUUUGGUUGCAUCAGUUCGUGGACAGAAGUCACUAACAAAUGGUCACAAGUCAGAGAAGAUGGUUAUUGGGUCAAAGAAGAAACACGAGGGUUCUUUUGAAGUACGCAAAAGUAGUAGUUCAUCUGCUCUCACGUCAUCGAGGUAUGAUAGUGCUUGUGGUCAUGUUGAUUUACCUAAAACCAUCGAGCGUACUAAAGAUGGAAUACAAAGAAAAAUUGACUCAGGCAGCAGCGUGAAGGAAUCAUCUCCAGUGGUUCGGAAAUCAGAUCUAGAUGUAAUUGGUGGAAAGAAAGCGAAGAAAUUACUGAAAGCUAAAAGACAAGUUGAGUUGGCAGAUGAUUCAGAGAAGGAUGCAGAUGGCAGUUCCGAUGAACAGGCCAAGGGCUACCUUUCUGACGGGAAAAAGAGGGCCCAGCUUGAAGUUUCACAUCCUGCCAAAAGGUCUAAACAUGCAGAUGUGGCUGAUGAAACUACCAGGGUACCGAUCCAAACAAACAGAAAAAGUGAUUCUCGAAGUUCUAAUGUUUUCGACAACAAAGCAGUUAAUGCAGAGCUUAAACGCUCUACAUUACGUUUGAAAUCUGAAAACCGUGUGGUGUCAAGAGUUUCUACUGGUAAUAUUGCAUCCAAUAUUCCUGGUGGUGAAGAUGUUCUACCACCAACUAAACGCCGUCGCCGGGCAUUAGAGGCUAUGUCUGAUUCCGCAACUACAAUUCCCGAAGAUAAAAAGGAAAAAAGUUCUGUUGCUCACAAAAAUGACGUUUCAGGUUCUGAUAAUGUUAAAUCCCCUGUGACUCAAUCGCACACGAAACGCAGAGCUGUUCGCCUGUUUGAUUAUGAUGAUGAUGAAGACCCAAAGACUCCGAUUCAUGGUGGGUCCGUCAAAAAGUCUCAGGCACCUUCCUGUGUAUCAAAUUCUACGAAGAAGAACACUGAUCCACAUCAUGAAAGUCCUAUUCAUGAUCAACCAAGUGUAAGAGGCUCAGGUGGAGCUGAUGAAAGCCCUUCGGAGGAAUGCCUACCUUCUACCAAACCACUUAAUGCUUCAUUGUCACCUAAUCCCCCUCGAACUGUAGAUGAGAGGCCUAAAAAGGCAAUUGCUCCACAAGUCUCCUUUAGCCCUGGUAAAACAGAAUCCGAGAGAGUGUAUUCCAAGGAGAUUAAAUCAGUACUGCUUUCGCCUAAAAUAUCUCCUUUGUCGGGUGCUGCUGCCAAACCGCUAGUUGAACCACAUAAAGUCAAUAAGCCCUCGAUUAAAUUAUCUGGUGGUACUAGUAUUCAGAAAAAAUCUCAAGCUGGGUCUAGUAAGAGCUCAGGAAAGGCUUCUGAUGGCUUAAAUUCUUCUCAAAAUCAACCAACAAAUCAAAGAAGUAAGCCACUAUCUUCAGGAGAGAGACAAAAAAGUACUCCGAAGUCAAAUACACGGAUGAAUGAUUCUGCUCCUCCUGUAGUAUUAAAUAUGGAGAAUAAUCUUUUACCUGGUGAAAGACUGGAAGAUGGUAGAGACAAUAAGUUGAGUUCAUUGAUGGAUUCUAAGGUUGCUGAUUCUGUUACGUCCAUGAAGCAUCUUAUUGCGGCUGCUCAAGCAAAAAGAAGACAAGCUCACACGCAAAACAUUUCUCAUGGCCAUCCUGAUUCCUUUUUGGCACUUGCUAAUGAUCUGCCUGGGAGGUACCCCAGCCCCGCCUCUGCAGUUCAGCCCUUUUUAUCUGGCUCCAGUGACAUGAUGCAACCAGAUAUACAGGGUUAUUAUCCUCGCACAUCUUUAGCUUCUCCAUCUACUCAUGGUCACGAGUAUUCUUCAAAUAAUCUACCUGAUGCUGAAGAGCUUGAGGAGAGAAGAGUUAGUUCAGGACAUCGGAAUGCUGGGGGUUCACUGAGUGGUGGUACUGAGGCAGCUGUUGCUCGUGAUGCUUUUGAAGGAAUGAUAGAGACACUUUCAAGGACUAAAGAAAGUAUUGGACGUGCAACUCGUCUUGCAAUUGACUGUGCAAAGUAUGGCAUUGCAAAUGAGGUUGUGGAACUUCUCAUCCGGAAGUUGGAAAGUGAGCCUAGUUUUCAUCGCAAAGUGGACCUAUUUUUUCUUGUGGAUUCUAUUACUCAAUGCUCGCAUAGUCAUAAAGGUAUUGCUGGUGCCUCGUAUAUCCCAACAGUGCAAGCUGCUUUACCUCGUCUUUUAGGAGCCGCUGCUCCACCUGGGGCUUCUGCUCGUGAAAAUCGUCGUCAAUGUCUCAAGGUUUUGCGAUUAUGGCUUGAGAGGAAGAUCUUACCUGAAUCUCUUCUUCGGCGCUAUAUGGAUGACAUUGGAGUUACGAAUGAUGAUACAUCUGCUGGUCUUUUCCUCAGGCGUCCCUCUCGUGCUGAGCGUGCUGUAGAUGAUCCAAUUAGAGAGAUGGAAGGCAUGCUUGUUGAUGAGUAUGGGAGCAAUGCUACUUUUCAGUUACCCGGCCUUUUAUCUUCUCAUGUAUUUGAAGAAGAAGACGAAGAAGAGGAGGAUGAUCUUCGAAUUAGUUUAUGUAAAGAAGAUGUUGAUGGAUCGCCAAUAGCAGCAACCCCUGCUAUAGGAGAGCCUGAAACGUGUACAGUCACUCCAAAUGACAGACGCCACUGCAUCUUAGAGGACGUGGAUGGUGAGCUUGAAAUGGAAGAUGUAUCUGGACAUCCAAAGGAUGAAAGAUCUUUGUUUACAAGCGAUUCUUUUGAAAUUGAUUCACAGCAGGAAGGUUCUGAUAGGAUCUUGGAAGCAGCAUCAACCAAUUCCACUCAAUGCCCACCUUUACCUGAGGGGUCCCCCCCCUUGCCUUUUGAUUCUCCUCCUACAACCCCGCCUCUGCCGCCUUCACCACCACCACCGCUACCUUCACCUCCACCUCCUCCACCAUUAUCCCCAUCCCCACCACCACCCCCACCCCCACCCCCACCACUUCCAUUGCAGCCCCAUCCACUUGCUUUACCACCUUCAGGCCCUCCACCAUCAUUGCAUCCUCAAUCCUUACCACCUCAACCUUCAAUGAUGUCACAGCACUUACAUCUCCCUCAAUCACCAAAAUUGCCUUAUCAAGCGCCUAUAUUACAUGAACAUUGCAGCACACCUAAUGAGGGUCAUAUUGAUGCUGCUGUUAGAAGUGAAACAUUUCCGCAGCAACCAACUUGCAUUGUGCCAGCUGGAGUCUGCAAUUCAAGGGAAUCUUCCGGAUUCAAUUUUUCCGGAUCAUCUGAUUAUGGACAUAGUGACUUGUAUGCAAAUCCCCAUGCUUCUCAGCCCAAGCAGCAUACUCAACCUGGUAAUGCACCUUUUGUACAAAGACCUUUCCAUCCCACCCCGCCUCCUCAAACCCCAUCCGGUCAUUACUCGUAUUCAAAUCCCCCAAUGCAGCAACAUCCACAGCAUCCUUACCCCAGACCAUACUCAUUGCCAAACCUUCAUGACGGGCCAAGGCGAUAUGCUGCUGAUGAACAAUGGAGGGUGUCCACAAGUGAGUUUAACACCGAUAAUCAGCGUGCUGUGUGGAUGAAUGGAGGGAGAACUCCAUCAUGUUCUGGCCCAUCCUUUCCACAGGAGGGUUAUUUUCGGCCAUCUAUUGAAAGGCCGCCCACAAAUAAUGUUGGUUUCCAGCCCUCUGGCCCACACACGCUGCCAGCUGGUGCUCCAAUUCCAGGUCACGGUGUUUCUCAGAUGAUGCCUAGUAGACCAGACAUAUCUGCCCUUAAUUGUUGGAGGCCAGUUUAAGAGUCAUCCUGGAGCUAAGUUAUUUUUCGCCGUGCAGUGGGCAGUUUUUCAAGUAGGGAAUUUACAUUCAUAUUGAUCUAAAGAAAGAUUCAGCUUUGGUUUAAAUUUAACCACCCAUAAAUGGAGGUGUUGAGAACUUCUGAAGACCCUUGGCAGGAUUGGAUAUUGUAAUUUCCCCAACAAAUGCAUCCUGCAGACAUUUGCACCAAGUGUUGUGAUUCUUCUUUUUCUUCUGGCGGGGUGAUUUGGUUAUUCAUAUUUCUGAUAUGAUGUUCAAGUCCCCUCACUUUCUACAACCUGAACGGAAACUGUGAAGUUGCAGAGGAAGACUUAAGUUAGCCUAGUAAUGGAGUAUCACUUCUAGUGUCUGGCUACUUUAGCUAGUUAUAGAUAUUUAUGAUGUCUAUUUUCUUACACUUUGUCAUAAAAUGAUAUAAAUUUGGGAACGCUAUGGAUGAGCACCCGAUAGAAUUUUAGGUUUUGGGGAAUUUGGCAGAUUUCUUCACUCAGGCCUUGUUGUCACCACCUUGUCAUUGUCAUCGUCAUCAGAUUUUGGCAAAAGUUUCUCUGGUUCUGUGGAUCACCUGUCCUUUAGAAUGAUUGUCUUCAAAGCAUUCAUUACCUAUAUGGAGAUGGAUUUCGAAAUGGACUUAAAUUGCUUUCUUCUUGACCUCAAGCAUCCGCUGUUAUAGGCCAGGCUACAUAAGGUAACAGAGCCUAAACAAGAUUUAAAUGUAGCCUCAGCAGAGUUAACUUUUUUGUGAUGGACAUGCAUGCUUGAUCCUUAAUAUAUAUAUAUAUAUAUAUAUAUAUAUAUAUAUAUAUUUGAUUGGCAGUCACAAGUUUUUCAACACUUACACUGCGUAAUUCUGCAAUUGCUUUUAGUGGAAAAAGGGGCUUCUAAUACAAUUUUCAAUAUGUUAUGGGUUAACGAGCGUUGUUGAGCUCGAGUGAGGUUGAUUUGUGCCGAGUUCAGAUUGGGAUUCCUAAAUGUUGGUUGACUCAACUCGCUUGAGUUGUAGAAAGUGGGUUAUUUUUUACCAAUCGAAUUCAAAUGGUCAAAAUGUAAUUCCAAACCCAGAGAGAUUGAUGUUUUUGUCAAAAUGUCGGGACAGUCCGGAUUUUAUUUUCAUGUCACAAGGAUAGAGAACAAAGGGAAAAUAAUAUUCUCAUUGGUCGUGAUUAUUUUUUUUGACUUUUAUCAUAUUUUGUUAUAUUAUUUUAA
Molecule: RNA transcript, 6193 nt
Organism: Cornus florida
Lineage: Eukaryota; Viridiplantae; Streptophyta; Magnoliopsida; Cornales; Cornaceae
Gene name: ENHANCER OF AG-4 protein 2
Exons: 13
Source: RefSeq, a predicted model, not a curated record